AGCAAAGCCAGAAAAUUUAACAUUGGGGAUGAAGUGUAUGGGGAUAUCAAUGAGGAGGGUAGCAUAAACCUGAAGAAGUUUGGGACUUUGGCAGAGUACACUGCUGCAGAAGAAAGAUUGUUGGCUCUGAAACCCACAAACCUGAGCUUUGUGGAAGCUGCUAGCCUUCCAAUGGCUAUGGAGACUGCCUAUGAAGGGCUGGAACGAGUUGGGCUUUCUGCUGGCCAGUCCAUUCUUGUUUUGGGAGGCGCUGGGGGGCUGGGCACACAUGUUAUUCAGGUACACAUUCAUUAAUUAAUUUUGUUCUUAUAUUUUUCUAGCUUAGGUAAAGCAGUUUCAAUGAUCCCCCCAUAUAUUGUUUUGUUUGUUUUUAGGUUAAUGUUUGUGUUAAUUUUUUGGCAGCUAGCAAAGCAUGUUUUUGGUGCCUCCAGAGUAGCAGCCACUGCAAGCACUAAAAAACUUGAUUUGCUGAAAAGCUUGGGUGCUGAUUUGGCUAUCGAUUACACUGAGGAGAGUGUGGAAGACCUGCCUGAGAAAUUUGAUGUGGUGUUUGAUGCAGUUGGUAAUUAAUUAAGAACUAAUCUUCAUUCUUCAUUUCUAUUUGUUUGCUAAUUAUGUGAAAUGAAAGCGAAAUAAUUCUAAAAUGAACCAAAAAAUAGGUCAGUCGGACAAAGCAGUGAAAGCAGUGAAAGCAGAGGGGAGGGUUGUGACAAUAUUUGGUCCAAUAACACCACCAGCCUUCAUGUUUGUGCUGACCUCAACUGGGUCCAGUUUAGAGAAACUCAAGCCUUACUUGGAGAGUGGAAAGGUGAAGCCAGUGCUUGAUCCCACAGGCCCAUAUCCAUUUUCUAAGACCCUUGAAGCAUUUGCCUACCUUCAAACUUCCAGGGCUGCUGGAAAGGUGGUUGUGUAUCCCAUCCCCUGACCCUUAGCUGAGAUCAAUUAGAGUUAUCAAUUAGAGUUUAUGUCUCGUAUAAUUAAUAUAUAUAUGUAUGCUUAAUCUUGGUUUAAUUACUAGCUACUUGUAUGUAGUUAGGUAAUGCAAGAUUGAUGUUGUAUAAUAUAAGUUGGAGUUUAUAAUUUGUAUCCCCCUUUGUUAUGAGAAAUACUUCUCUGGCUCGACGUCAAUGUUUAUAUUUCUAAGCAUUCACAAUGGUUAUUCAAUAGAUGGUAAAUAGUUCAUAGUUCAAUAUUAAACUAUUUUGGCAUUUAUUGAAUUGAACUGCAGUUUUACUUGUAAUAGUACAAUUCAAUAGCUUUAGAUCAAUAGUUAUAUUUACUUACAUUUUUUUUCACAUACUCAAAUAAAAUUUAAUAACACUAAAAAAUUGUAUCAUUGAAAUAUUUUCAAAGAUAUCUUUAAAAAGAGACCAAUUUUGAAUAUAUUUGAAAAAAUAAAUAAAUUAUUUUUUUUCUAUUGCAUUGAACUAUUGAACAACCAUUGCAUAUGCUCUUAACAACAUAAUGUAUUAACUGCCGUAUUUUAUAUAUUUUUUAUUGACAUGUGGAUCUCAUGGUUAGUCUAUUGCAAUUGCGAUAGAUGGUUCAUCAUAUAGCACUCUCUAUUGCAAUUGCAUCUAUUCCAAUGAACUAAAUCACACCAUUGCAAGUAAGAUUUUAUUGUUUUAGUUCAAUUUCAUGCAAUAAAAUUGCAUUGCUCCUAACCAUUACAAAUGCUCUUAUGUAACCACAUGAGAGAGAGAGAGAGAGAGAGAGAGAGAGAGAGAGAGAGAGAGAGAGAGAGAGAGAGAGAGAGAGAGAGAAUGAUAUUGGCACAGGGGCAUGAAGUAUUUUCCUAUGUUUUUGCCCUUUUUUUUAUUGUUCUACAAGUUUACCAGUUACACAGACAUUCCACUACGGAUACAGAUAAAGGCAAUCCAUCAAAAGAUUAUAUUAUGUUUGAUAACAUAACAAUUAGGAAAUUCACCAUCUUUUAACUAAGGCUUAACUCUUAAUUUGCCCCCUGAACUUGUACCUAAUUUUUUAUUUACCCACUAUUUUUUUUUAAAACAAAAUUAAAGAUAUAAUUUUUUUUUAUUGUUUUGCCAAAAAAUUUCUUCUUCUUCCCUUGUUUUGUUUUUUUGUUGUUGUUGUACAAGUUUACCAGUUACACACAGAGAUAUUCCACUAUGGAUACAGACAAAGGCAAUCCAUCAAAAGAUUAUCUUAUAUUUGGUAAAAUAACAAUUAGGAAAUCCACAAUCUUUUAACUAAUAAUAUAUGUACAUGAUGGAUCAUUAUAUAAUUCGAUAAAUGUUUGUUCACCGACCUCCACCCAGCCGCCGAUGGGAUCCACCACCUUCUUCCUCUUUCAGUUUGUCUUAGUUUUCUUUCGCAAUCUUUAAUUAAUGAGAGCAUCUGUGGUUGAGGUGUCAAACAUAACAUUUAGAGAGCUAGUACUAAAUUUGGGACCUUACAAACCAUUUGAACUUAUUUUCUGUUAUCAAAUUAUCAGUUAAAUUUACACAUCCAAAAACGAGUUUACGUGAUAGUCUUGUUUUUUUCAAAUGAGAAAAUAAAACUAUAUAACAAACCUAUACGAACAACCAAUGACAAUAAGGGGAAACCAAAGGACGUGAAUGACUUCGGAAGUAUGGCAUAACAAGAUAGACAAUUAGUCAUGAAAGUAACAUCUCCCUACAAUUGGUUGUACAUAAAUUUACAACCAAUUGGCAUACAAAAUUCAGGUGAGAGUAAAAAGUAUGCUGGAUUGGUAAUGAUGUGGCACUUUGUUAUAAUUUAUGACGCAAAUAAUAAGUUAAUAUCAUGGGGUUUUUUAUUUAAAUAAAGGACCUACUAGUAUAGUAGUUUGAAGCAUUUACUUCCUCAUGUAAGGUUCUGAGUUCGAAUUCUAACAUUCGUGUAGUGUGCGUGAGUUUAGUACGUCAUCAUCAGAAAGGUCUUUAAAAAAAAAACAAAAUAAAGACCUUCCAUUUUAAUACUAGCAAAAUAAGCGAAAAAGAUGAACGGACGAGAAUUUUCGACGAAUGCGGACAAAGAAAUAUAUAGUAGCAAAGCAAUGAUGCAUGGGUUUUGAUUUUGAAGGCAGUUAGCUUUUGAGAUUAUGACAGAAUAAUGUAUUAUUUUUUACUUGCUCAAAACAAAACCAGUAAAUAAAUACCCAGUCUCCCUCCCCAUUUUCCAUCUCAUUCUCAGACUUUCUAAGAAGCAGGGUCUGGUUGGUUUCUUGUUCUACCACAAUUAACCAAAGUUUCUUUCCUGUACAUCCAACAUGGCCGAUGCUUCAUGUGUAUCCACCACACCACCCUCUGUAAACAAGGCUUGGAUUUACAGAGAGCAUGGAGAAACUGCACAUGUUUUGAAGUUUGAAACAAAUGUGGCUGUUCCUCAAAUAAAGGAAGACCAGGUGCUGAUCAAGGUUGUUGCUGCAGCUCUUAACCCAAUUGAUGCCAAGAGGAUCCUUGGCGUUUUCAGGGCCACUGACACUGCUCUGCCUGUGAGCUCACUCAACUCAGCUGCCCCCUCUUCAUUUUUCUCUUUUCAUUUUUCCAUAAUUAAAUCAUUAACUAACUAAAAACUUAUCAUUAUGAAUUUAUGAAUCUGAUUUGUUUGCAGACAGUUCCAGGGUUUGAUGUGGCUGGUGUGGUGGUGAAGUUGGGAAGCAAAGCCAGCAAAUUUAACAUUGGGGAUGAAGUGUAUGGGGAUAUCAAUGAGGAGGGUAGCAUAAACCUGAAGAAGUUUGGGACUUUGGCAGAGUACACUGCUGCAGAAGAAAGAUUGUUGGCUCUGAAACCCAAAAACCUGAGCUUUGUGGAAGCUGCUAGCCUUCCGGCGGCUAUUGAGACAGCCUAUGAAGGGCUGAAACGAGUUGGGCUUUCUGCUGGCCAGUCCAUUCUUGUUUUGGGAGGCGCUGGGGGUUGUGGAACUCAUGUUAUUCAGGUACAUAUAUGUUCAUUUUUGUUCUUAUUCUUCUAGCUUACCUCAAACAAUCCUCCCAAUGUUUUGGUUGUUUUUAGGUUAAUAUUUGUGUUAAUUUUGUGGCAGCUAGCAAAGCAUGUUUUUGGUGCCUCCAGAGUAGCAGCUACGGCGAGCACUAAAAAACUUGAUUUGCUAAGAAGCUUGGGUGCUGAUUUGGCUAUUGACUACACUAAGGAAAACGUUGAAGACCUGCCUGAGAAAUUUGAUGUGGUGUAUGAUGCAGUUGGUAAAUAAUUAUUCUUCAUUUCUAUUUGUUUACUAAUUAUGUGAAAUAAAAGGGAAAUAAUUUUGAAAUGAACAAAAAUACAGGUCAAUCGGAUAAGGCAGUGAAGGCAGUGAAAGAAGGGGGAAGGGUGGUGACAUUAAUAGGUCCAAUAACACCACCAGCCUCCAUGUUUGUGCUCACCUCAACUGGGUCCAUUUUGGAGAAACUCAAGCCUUACUUGGAGAGUAGGAAGGUGAAGGCAGUGAUUGAUCCCACAGGCCCGUAUCCAUUUUCUAAGACCAUAGACGCAUUUGCCUACCUUCAAACUUCCAGGGCUACUGGAAAGGUGGUUGUGUAUCCCAUCCCCUGACCCUCAGCUGAGAUCAAUUAGAGUUUAUGUCUCGUAUAAUAAAUAUAUAUAUAUAUAUGCUUAAUCUUGGUUUAAUUACUAGCUACUUGUAUGUAGUUAGGGAAUGCAAGAUUGAUGUUGUAUAAUAUAAGUUGGAGUUUAUAAUUUGUAUCCCCCUUUGUUAUGAGAAAUACUUCUCUGGCUCGAAGUCAAUGUCUAUAUUUCUAAGCAUUCACAAUGGUUAUUCAAUAGAUGCCAAAUACUUCAUAGUUCAAUAUUGAAUUAUUUUCACAUCUAUUGAAUUGAACUGCAAUUUUACUUGUAAUGGUAUAGUUCAAUAGCUUCAUAUCAAUAGUUAUAUUUACUUACAUGUUUUUUUUACAUACUCAAAUAAAAUUUAAUAACACUAAAAAAUUGUAUCAUUGAAAUAUUUUCAAAGAGAUCUUCAAAAAGGAGUUUUUAUCAAAAAUAGCCAAAAUUUAACCCCCAAAUUCAUAAAUGUCAGUUUUUAAAAAUAAUUUCAAAUAUAGCAAAAAACUCACUUAAAUUGACCCAAAUGCCCUCUAAAUUAUAACUCAAUUACACCUAAAAGCUAAAACCCAAAAUAGCAAGAGCACAAAAACAAGAUUGGCUUCGUCAACUUAAUCAUGCCUAUGAAUCCUAUCAUAAAAAUGACAAUGUAAUUACCAAAAAGAAGAAGAAAAGGAACAGCCGAUGUUUUCAUAAAUCCAAGCAAUAAAAAUCAUCUCUGCGGCUAUGACUUGAUUCGGUGGGUUUGGGAGUUUUUUACAAUAAAAAAAGUUAAAGUCGGUUUCUUGACAUAAUAAUUUUUAAUUGAGAAAAAAAAGUUGAACUUUCUUGCAAAAUUCGUAUCAUAAAUACUGCUAGUCUGCAUAUGAUAUCAGGGGUUAAAUUUUCUUGCAAACCAUCAUAUGUGUUGCUGCCUUCCCUCAGCACAAGAGGUCAAGAAAAAUUGCAAGGCCCUCGCUGUUCAUAGACUAUCUUCCCUCAACACAAACUUGUCUAUAUUAACUUUGCUUUCCAUUAAGGGUGAUUGGCGAGGGGCAGUGUCCUUGUGUUUGAGGGUAGGCUGGGUGGAGGGUGAGGCUUGUGCUCAAUAGGUUACGGCUUGGAAGAGCAUGCUUUUUGGUUAGGUUUUAAUUUAGAGGGCAUUUGGGUCAAUUUAAGUGAGUUUUUGGCUAUAUUUGAAAGUUUUUUAAAAAACUGACAUUUAUGAAUUUGGGGGUUAAAUUUUGGCUAUUUUUGAUAAAAACUCUUCAAAAAGAGACCAAUUUUGAAUAUAUUUGAAAAAACAAAUUAAUUAUUUUUUUUUUUCUAUUGCAUAGAACUAUUGAACAACCAUUGCAGAUGCUCUUAACAACAUAAUGCAUUAAUUGUUGUAGUUUAUAUAUUUUUUAUUGACAUGUGGAUCUCAUGGUUAGUCUAUUGCAAUUGCAAUAGAGGGUUCAUCACAUAGCACUCUUUAUUGCAAUUGCAUCUAUUGCAAUGAACUAAAUCACACCAUUGCAAUUGAGAUUUUAUUGUUUUAUUUCAAUUUCAUGCAAUAAAAUUGCAUUGCUCCUAAUCAUUGUAAAUGCUCUUAUGUAACAUCAUGAGAGAGAGAGAGAGAGAGAGAGAGAGAGAGAGAGAGAGUAAUAUUGGCACAGAGGCAUGAAGUAUUUUCCUUCUUUUUUUUUGCCCUAUUUUUUUUAUUGUUCUACAAGUUUACCCAUUACAUAGACAUUCCACUUCGAAUACAGAUAAAGGCAAUUCAUCAAAAGAUUAUAUUGUGUUUGAUAACAUAACAAUUAGGAAAUCUACCAUCUUUUAACUAAGGCUUAACUCUUGAUUUGCCCUCUAAAUUUGUACAUAAAUUUUGAUUUACCCACUAUUUUUUUUUUAAGAAAAUUAAAUAUAUGAACUUUUUUUUUUCGCCAAUUUUUUCUAUGUCGUCUAAAUCCUCAACAUUUCAUCCAAUUUUAUGUUAAAUCAUUUAAAAAAUUAUUUUUUGAAAAAAAUUGAAGAAAAAAAUUUUCGUGAGUCCCACUUAACCAAACCCAAUGCCAAGCCCACAUCCCUCCCCCCCAACCCGAAGAACCCAUCCCUCAUUCCCCUUCUGUCUCUCCCCCUCCCAUGCCCCUCCUCCUCCUCCUCCUCCUCCUCCUUCCCCUUCCCCUUCUUCCCCUUUUAUAUCCCCCACCUUCUCCCUCUAAUCUCUUUCGCUCUCUCUCCUCCCGCAACCCCAUCGACCACAAACCCCAUUGAGGCACCCCCGCCCCCCUCAUCAACCCAACCUCACAGACCCUGCUCCCACCCGAGACCCAUCCCCAGCCCUUGCCCCACCUGAGACCCAUCUCCAAGCCCUUGCCCAAACCCAAACCCAUCACAUCCCCCAACACUUUCUCCCUUCCCCUCCCCCCNNNNNNNNNNNNNNNNNNNNNNNNNNNNNNNNNNNNNNNNNNNNNNNNNNNNNNNNNNNNNNNNNNNNNNNNNNNNNNNNNNNNNNNNNNNNNNNNNNNNAUAUUUCAAUUUUUAAAAGUUUUUCAUUUUAUUUUUCAGUGUUUAUAUAUUGUUAACGUGUAAAAUGACAAUUUUGCCCUCACAUUUAAUGGCAAAUUGAAUGAAAUGUUACAGAUUUAAACAUCAAUGGACAAAUUGGGUGAAAAAACAAAAGUUCAUAUCCUUAAUUUUAAUAUAAGGUAAAUUAAAAAUUAGGUACAAAUUUAAAGAGGAAAUCAAGAGUUAAGCCUUUAACUAAUAAUAUACUAUAUAAUAUUUACAUGAUAGACCCAAAUGCUUCCACCGCCGACGGUGGGACCCACCCCAGCUUUUUGUUCCUCUUUCUGUCCUAAUUUUCUUUCUUAAUCUUUAAUUUGUUAUAAAAUCACCAUUUUCAAUAACCAUGGUAGCCACAACCUUCGCGGUCGACCAUAUUGAAAGUUCCAAAUUAGAUAGUAAAGUGACUAUAUUAAUGACAGCAUCUGUGGUUGAAGUGUCACCCGUCCGGUGGAGAUAAAAAUAUAUAGUAGCAAAGCAAUGAUGCAUGUUAGAGCUCCAAUAGAAACAACAUAUCACGCAUGGGUUUUGAUUUUCAAGGCAACAAGAGCAAAUGUCAAAAUUUGACUGCCCGUUGCAGCCUUGUUUUACUCUAUUCUUAAAUGUCAAAAUUUGACUGCCCGUUGCAGCCUUGUUUUACGAAGUGUCAAAUUUUACUCGUAUUCGUGUUGUGUAAGGAUCAUAUAUAUAUAUGUUAAGAAUGCUUAAUUUAAAUUUGAUUCAUUUAAUAAACGUGUCGUGUUGGGUUAAUCUGCUAACUCUUCAUAUGGGUUUUGAGUUAUAUAUUGGAUUGAUCUACUAAGAGCAUCUCUAACUCAUAUAUCAAAUUGUCACAUAGACAUGAAAUAUCAAAAAUUCAAAUUUAACAUUUUGCAAUUGACAUCUCCCUUGGAGAUACUCUAUGUGGUAAACUAGUAACUAGCGGAAUAAAAAUGUAGACAAAAAAAAAGUAGGAAAAGAAAUGACUAUUCAAAGAAUUUUGAUAAUUUAACAAGUAAUUGCAUUCUUUUUUUAUAUAUAAAAUACUGAUUAUAUUUUGCCUCUUUCUAUGUAUGAAGAUUAAGAAAAAGAGAUUAAAAAAUAAAAUAAAAUUAGAAAAAUGAAGAAAAUGAAGAAGAAACAAAGAAACUGGUUGGCAGGUUAGAUAUUUUAGCGAGUUUGUGAGUUGAAUUCUUUAAUAAACCUAUUAUGUAGGUAUUUUAGUAGGUUGGUGGGUUGACUCGAAACCCAUUUAUUUAUUAAACGAAUCAUAGGGUUGACUUGAAAAUUUAUUCGUGCGGAUUAAUUUGUUAAUUUUCCGUGUGGGUUUCGAAUUGUGUUGGAAAUUGCGACUCCCUACACUAUCAAAACAAAACCAGUAAAUUGUCACAGCUUACGUUAUUAUCUGGAUGUUACUGUAUGAACGAACCAAUUAACAAUUUGUGUUCGUCUUUACAGCGGCGACGAGUCAAACUAUGCAGACAUGAUUGAAUGAAAGUUCAAGCUUGAAACAGAUAUAAAUACCCAUUUUCCAUCACAACAGAUUACACAAACAGACAAUCCCAUCUCAUUCUCUGGCUUUCUAAAAAGCAGGCUCUUUUUUUUUUAAGGGGUUUCUAUAAAGUUCCUUUCUUGUUCUACCACAACCAAAGUUAACUUCCUUUCUUGUACAUCCAACAUGGCUGAGGCUUCGUGUGUGUCCACACCACCAUCUGUAAACAAGGCUUGGAUUUACAGAGAACAUGGAGAAACUGCACAUGUUUUGAAGUUUGAAACAAAUGUGGCUGUUCCUCAAAUAAAGGAAGACCAGGUGCUGAUCAAGGUUGUUGCUGCAGCUCUUAACCCAAUUGAUGCCAAGAGGAUCCUUGGCGUUUUGAGGGCCACUGACACUGCUCCGCCUGUGAGCUCACUCAACUCAGCUGCCCCCCUCUGCAUUUUUCUCUUUUCAUUUUUCCAUAAUUAAAUCAUUAACUAACUAAAAACUUAUCAUUAUGAAUUUAUGAUCCUGAUUUGUUUGCAGAUAGUUCCAGGAUAUGAUGUGGCUGGUGUGGUGGUGAAGUUGGGAAGCAAAGCCAGCAAAUUUAACAUUGGGGAUGAAGUGUAUGGAGAUAUCAAUGAGGAGAGUAGCCUAAAUCUGAAGAAGUUUGGGACUUUGGCAGAGUACACUGCUGCAGAAGAAAGAUUGUUGGCUCUGAAACCCAAAAACCUGAGCUUUGUGGAAGCUGCUAGCCUUCCGGCAGCUAUUGAGACAGCCUAUGAAGGGCUAAAACGAGUUGGGCUUUCUGCUGGCCAGUCCAUUCUUGUUUUGGGAGGCGCUGGGGGUUGUGGAACUCAUGUUAUUCAG
Molecule: long non-coding RNA, 9372 nt
Filed under: Prunus persica (peach)
Lineage: Eukaryota; Viridiplantae; Streptophyta; Magnoliopsida; Rosales; Rosaceae
Description: long non-coding RNA (PPER_LNC003922)
Source: RNAcentral